UGGGGAAUAUUGGACAAUGGGCGAAAGCCUGAUCCAGCGACGCCGCGUGGGGGAAGAAGGCCUUCGGGUUGUAAACUCCUUUUGUCAGCUAUAAUGGUUGAAGAAUAAGCACCUGCUAACUACGUGCCAGCAGCCGCGGUGAAACGUAGGGUGCGAGCGUUAUCCGGAUUUACUGGGCGUAAAGGGUUGCGUAGGCGGUAUAUUAAGUCAAAACUGAAAUCUCCUCGCUCAACGAGGAAAACGGUUUUGAUACUAAUAUGCUUUGAGGCUCACAGAGGUAGCUGGAACUUGCAAUGGAGCGGUGAAAUGCGUUGAGAUUGCAAGGAACACCAAUGGCGUAGGCAGGCUACUGGGUGAGAUCUGACGCUGAUGCACGACAGCUAGGGGAGCGAAGCGGAUUAGAUACCCAUGUAGUCCCUGAGCGGGCUGGCAAGGCGCAU
RNAcentral lists this ribosomal RNA (440 nucleotides) under uncultured bacterium. RNAcentral's name for it is "bacterial SSU rRNA". It matches the Rfam family "Bacterial small subunit ribosomal RNA", at positions 355 to 825 of the family's 1533-position model. The record is from RNAcentral.